GCUAGUAAUCGCAGAUCAGCAUGCUGUGGUGAAUACGUUCCCGGGCCUUGUACACACCGCCCGUCACACCAUGGGAGUCGGUAACACCCGAAGUCGGUAGCCUAACCGUAAGGNGGGCGCCGCCGAAGGUGGGAUUGAUGACUGGGGUGAAGUCGUAACAAGGUACC
Molecule: ribosomal RNA, 167 nt
Filed under: uncultured bacterium
Lineage: Bacteria
Description: partial 16S ribosomal RNA
Rfam family: Bacterial small subunit ribosomal RNA
Source: RNAcentral